UAAGUUGCAGGGUAUAGACCCGAAACCCGGUGAUCUAGCCAUGGGCAGGUUGAAGGUUGGGUAACACUAACUGGAGGACCGAACCGACUAAUGUUGAAAAAUUAGCGGAUGACUUGUGGCUGGGGGUGAAAGGCCAAUCAAACCGGGAGAUAGCUGGUUCUCCCCGAAAGCUAUUUAGGUAGCGCCUCGUGAACUCAUCUUCGGGGGUAGAGCACUGUUUCGGCUAGGGGGUCAUCCCGACUUACCAACCCGAUGCAAACUACGAAUACCGAAGAAUGUUAUCACGGGAGACACACGGCGGGUGCUAACGUUCGUCGUGAAGAGGGAAACAACCCAGACCGCCAGCUAAGGUCCCAAAGUCAUGGUUAAGUGGGAAACGAAGUGGGAAGGCUCAGACAGCCAGGAUGUUGGCUUAGAAGCAGCCAUCAUUUAAAGAAAGCGUAAUAGCUCACUGGUCGAGUCGGCCUGCGCGGAAGAUGUAACGGGGCUAAACCAUGCACCGAAGCUGCGGCAGCGACAUUUAGAUGUUGUUGGGUAGGGGAGCGUUCUGUAAGCCUGUGAAGGUGUGCUGCGAGGCAUGCUGGAGGUAUCAGAAGUGCGAAUGCUGACAUAAGUAACGAUAAUGCGGGUGAAAAACCCGCACGCCGGAAGACCAAGGGUUCCUGUCCAACGUUAAUCGGGGCAGGGUGAGUCGACCCCUAAGGCGAGGCAGAAAUGCGUAGUCGAUGGGAAACAGGUUAAUAUUCCUGUACUGGUGAUAAUUGCGAUGGGGGGACGGAGAAGGCUAGGCUGGCCGGGCGACGGUUGUCCCGGUUUAAGGAUGUAGGCAGGUGAAUUAGGCAAAUCCGGUUCACUACAUGCUGAGGUCUGAUGACGAGUCACUACGGUGGCGAAGUAGCUCAUGCCCCGCUUCCAGGAAAAGCCUCUAAGCUCUAGAUUAUCAUUAAUCGUACCCCAAACCGACACAGGUGGUCAGGUAGAGAAUACUCAGGCGCUUGAGAGAACUCGGGUGAAGGAACUAGGCAAAAUGGUGCCGUAACUUCGGGAGAAGGCACGCUGGCGCUAGGUGAAGUCCCUCGCGGAUGGAGCUGAAGCCAGUCGCAGAUACCAGCUGGCUGCAACUGUUUAUUAAAAACACAGCACUGUGCAAACACGAAAGUGGACGUAUACGGUGUGACGCCUGCCCGGUGCUGGAAGGUUAAUUGAUGGGGUUAUCCGUAAGGAGAAGCUCUUGAUCGAAGCCCCAGUAAACGGCGGCCGUAACUAUAACGGUCCUAAGGUAGCGAAAUUCCUUGUCGGGUAAGUUCCGACCUGCACGAAUGGCGUAAUGAUGGCCAGGCUGUCUCCACCCGAGACUCAGUGAAAUUGAACUCGCUGUGAAGAUGCAGUGUACCCGCGGCAAGACGGAAAGACCCCGUGAACCUUUACUAUAGCUUGACACUGAACAUUGAGCCUUGAUGUGUAGGAUAGGUGGGAGGCUUUGAAGUGUGGACGCCAGUCUGCAUGGAGCCAACCUUGAAAUACCACCCUUUAAUGUUUGAUGUUCUAACGUGGCCCCAUCAUCUGGGGUGCGGACAGUGUCUGGUGGGUAGUUUGACUGGGGCGGUCUCCUCCCAAAGAGUAACGGAGGAGCACGAAGGUUGGCUAAGCAUGGUCGGACAUCAUGCGGUUAGUGCAAAGGCAUAAGCCAGCUUGACUGCGAGAGUGACGGCUCGAGCAGGUACGAAAGUAGGUCUUAGUGAUCCGGUGGUUCUGAAUGGAAGGGCCAUCGCUCAACGGAUAAAAGGUACUCCGGGGAUAACAGGCUGAUACCGCCCAAGAGUUCAUAUCGACGGCGGUGUUUGGCACCUCGAUGUCGGCUCAUCACAUCCUGGGGCUGAAGUAGGUCCCAAGGGUAUGGCUGUUCGCCAUUUAAAGUGGUACGCGAGCUGGGUUUAGAACGUCGUGAGACAGUUCGGUCCCUAUCUGCCGUGGGCGUUGGAAGAUUGAAAGGGGCUGCUCCUAGUACGAGAGGACCGGAGUGGACGCACCACUGGUGUUCGGGUUGUCAUGCCAAUGGCACUGCCCGGUAGCUAAGUGCGGAAGAGAUAACCGCUGAAAGCAUCUAAGCGGGAAACUUGCCUUGAGAUGAGUCUUCCCUGACUCUUUAAGGGUCCUAAAGGAACGUUUAAGACUAAGACGUUGAUAGGCUGGGUGUGUAAGCGUAGCGAUACGUUGAGCUAACCAGUACUAAUGAACCGUGAGGCUUAACCUG
This 2254-nucleotide ribosomal RNA is filed under the name Providencia stuartii. Its description in RNAcentral is "partial 23S ribosomal RNA". It matches the Rfam family "Bacterial large subunit ribosomal RNA", at positions 696 to 2925 of the family's 2925-position model. Lineage: Bacteria; Pseudomonadati; Pseudomonadota; Gammaproteobacteria; Enterobacterales; Morganellaceae. The record is from RNAcentral.